GGGUUGUGAGGUUAAGCGACUAAGCGUACACGGUGGAUGCCCUGGCAGUCAGAGGCGAUGAAGGGCGUGCUAAUCUGCGAUAAGCGCCGGUAAGGUGAUAUGAACCGUUAUAACCGGCGAUACCCGAAUGGGGAAACCCAGUGUGAUUCGUCACACUAUCAUUAACUGAAUCCAUAGGUUAAUGAGGCGAACCGGGGGAACUGAAACAUCUAAGUACCCCGAGGAAAAGAAAUCAACCGAGAUUCCCCCAGUAGCGGCGAGCGAACGGGGAGGAGCCCAGAGCCUGAAUCAGCAUGUGUGUUAGUGGAAGCGUCUGGAAAGGCGCGCGAUACAGGGUGACAGCCCCGUACACAAAAGCGCAUGUGCUGUGAGCUCGAUGAGUAGGGCGGGACACGUGGUAUCCUGUCUGAAUAUGGGGGGACCAUCCUCCAAGGCUAAAUACUCCUGACUGACCGAUAGUGAACCAGUACCGUGAGGGAAAGGCGAAAAGAACCCCGGCGAGGGGAGUGAAAAAGAACCUGAAACCGUGUACGUACAAGCAGUGGGAGCACAGGUUUACCUGUGUGACUGCGUACCUUUUGUAUAAUGGGUCAGCGACUUAUAUUCUGUAGCAAGGUUAACCGCAUAGGGGAGCCGGAGGGAAACCGAGUCUUAAUUGGGCGUUAAGUUGCAGGGUAUAGACCCGAAACCCGGUGAUCUAGCCAUGGGCAGGUUGAAGGUUGGGUAACACUAACUGGAGGACCGAACCGACUAAUGUUGAAAAAUUAGCGGAUGACCUGUGGCUGGGGGUGAAAGGCCAAUCAAACCGGGAGAUAGCUGGUUCUCCCCGAAAGCUAUUUAGGUAGCGCCUCGUGAAUUCAUCUCCGGGGGUAGAGCACUGUUUCGGCUAGGGGGCCAUCCCGGCUUACCAACCCGAUGCAAACUGCGAAUACCGGAGAAUGUUAUCACGGGAGACACACGGCGGGUGCUAACGUCCGUCGUGAAGAGGGAAACAACCCAGACCGCCAGCUAAGGUCCCAAAGUCAUGGUUAAGUGGGAAACGAUGUGGGAAGGCCCAGACAGCCAGGAUGUUGGCUUAGAAGCAGCCAUCAUUUAAAGAAAGCGUAAUAGCUCACUGGUCGAGUCGGCCUGCGCGGAAGAUGUAACGGGGCUAAACCAUGCACCGAAGCUGCGGCAGCGACGCUUAUGCGUUGUUGGGUAGGGGAGCGUUCUGUAAGCCUGUGAAGGUGGCCUGUGAGGGUUGCUGGAGGUAUCAGAAGUGCGAAUGCUGACAUAAGUAACGAUAAAGCGGGUGAAAAGCCCGCUCGCCGGAAGACCAAGGGUUCCUGUCCAACGUUAAUCGGGGCAGGGUGAGUCGACCCCUAAGGCGAGGCCGAAAGGCGUAGUCGAUGGGAAACGGGUUAAUAUUCCCGUACUUGGUGUUACUGCGAAGGGGGGACGGAGAAGGCUAUGUUGGCCGGGCGACGGUUGUCCCGGUUUAAGCGUGUAGGUGUGUGUUCCAGGUAAAUCCGGUUCACUUUAACACUGAGGCGUGAUGACGAGGCACUACGGUGCUGAAGCAACAAAUGCCCUGCUUCCAGGAAAAGCCUCUAAGCAUCAGGUAACAUCAAAUCGUACCCCAAACCGACACAGGUGGUCAGGUAGAGAAUACCAAGGCGCUUGAGAGAACUCGGGUGAAGGAACUAGGCAAAAUGGUGCCGUAACUUCGGGAGAAGGCACGCUGACACGUAGGUGAAGUGAUUUACUCAUGGAGCUGAAGUCAGUCGAAGAUACCAGCUGGCUGCAACUGUUUAUUAAAAACACAGCACUGUGCAAACACGAAAGUGGACGUAUACGGUGUGACGCCUGCCCGGUGCCGGAAGGUUAAUUGAUGGGGUCAGCGCAAGCGAAGCUCCUGAUCGAAGCCCCGGUAAACGGCGGCCGUAACUAUAACGGUCCUAAGGUAGCGAAAUUCCUUGUCGGGUAAGUUCCGACCUGCACGAAUGGCGUAAUGAUGGCCAGGCUGUCUCCACCCGAGACUCAGUGAAAUUGAACUCGCUGUGAAGAUGCAGUGUACCCGCGGCAAGACGGAAAGACCCCGUGAACCUUUACUAUAGCUUGACACUGAACAUUGAGCCUUGAUGUGUAGGAUAGGUGGGAGGCUUUGAAGCGUGGACGCCAGUCUGCGUGGAGCCGACCUUGAAAUACCACCCUUUAAUGUUUGAUGUUCUAACGUGGACCCGUAAUCCGGGUUGCGGACAGUGUCUGGUGGGUAGUUUGACUGGGGCGGUCUCCUCCUAAAGAGUAACGGAGGAGCACGAAGGUUGGCUAAUCCUGGUCGGACAUCAGGAGGUUAGUGCAAUGGCAUAAGCCAGCUUGACUGCGAGCGUGACGGCGCGAGCAGGUGCGAAAGCAGGUCAUAGUGAUCCGGUGGUUCUGAAUGGAAGGGCCAUCGCUCAACGGAUAAAAGGUACUCCGGGGAUAACAGGCUGAUACCGCCCAAGAGUUCAUAUCGACGGCGGUGUUUGGCACCUCGAUGUCGGCUCAUCACAUCCUGGGGCUGAAGUAGGUCCCAAGGGUAUGGCUGUUCGCCAUUUAAAGUGGUACGCGAGCUGGGUUUAGAACGUCGUGAGACAGUUCGGUCCCUAUCUGCCGUGGGCGCUGGAGAACUGAGGGGGGCUGCUCCUAGUACGAGAGGACCGGAGUGGACGCAUCACUGGUGUUCGGGUUGUCAUGCCAAUGGCACUGCCCGGUAGCUAAAUGCGGAAGAGAUAAGUGCUGAAAGCAUCUAAGCACGAAACUUGCCCCGAGAUGAGUUCUCCCUGAGACUUAGAGUCUCCUGAAGGAACGUUGAAGACGACGACGUUGAUAGGCCGGGUGUGUAAGCGCAGCGAUGCGUUGAGCUAACCGGUACUAAUGAACCGUGAGGCUUAACCUUACAACGCCGAAG
RNAcentral lists this ribosomal RNA (2929 nucleotides) under Salmonella enterica subsp. enterica serovar Manhattan str. SA20034532. RNAcentral describes it as "bacterial LSU rRNA". It matches the Rfam family "Bacterial large subunit ribosomal RNA". The record is from RNAcentral. Lineage: Bacteria; Pseudomonadati; Pseudomonadota; Gammaproteobacteria; Enterobacterales; Enterobacteriaceae.